This 259-nucleotide ribosomal RNA is filed under the name uncultured Staphylococcus sp. RNAcentral describes it as "partial 16S ribosomal RNA". It matches the Rfam family "Bacterial small subunit ribosomal RNA", at positions 103 to 356 of the family's 1533-position model. Lineage: Bacteria; Bacillati; Bacillota; Bacilli; Caryophanales; Staphylococcaceae. The record is from RNAcentral.
CGGGUGAGUAACACGUGGAUAACCUACCUAUAAGACUGGGAUAACUUCGGGAAACCGGAGCUAAUACCGGAUAAUAUUUUGAACCGCAUGGUUCAAAAGUGAAAGACGGUCUUGCUGUCACUUAUAGAUGGAUCCGCGCUGCAUUAGCUAGUUGGUAAGGUAACGGCUUACCAAGGCAACGAUGCAUAGCCGACCUGAGAGGGUGAUCGGCCACACUGGAACUGAGACACGGUCCAGACUCCUACGGGAGGCAGCAGCG